UUGGAGGGCAAGUCUGGUGCCAGCAGCCGCGGUAAUUCCAGCUCCAAUAGCGUAUAUUAAAGUUGUUGCAGUUAAAAAGCUCGUAGUUGAAUUUCGGGGUCAGCAGGCUGGUCGUGCCUAUGGUAUGAACUGGCUUCGCUGGUCUCUCCUUUCUGAAGAACUGUAAUGCCAUUAAUUUGGUGUUGCAGGGACACAGGACUGUUACUUUGAAAAAAUUAGAGUGUUUAAAGCAGGCUAACGCUUGAAUACAUUAGCAUGGAAUAAUGAAAUAGGACGUUCGAACCUAUUUUGUUGGUUUCUAGGAUUGACGUAAUGAUUAAUAGGGAUAGUUGGGGGCAUUAGUAUUCAAUUGUCAGAGGUGAAAUUCUUGGAUUUAUUGAAGACUGACUACUGCGAAAGCAUUUGCCAAGGAUGUUUUCAUUAAUCAAGAACGAAAGUUAGGGGAUCGAAGACGGUCAGAUACCGUCGUAGUCUUAACCAUAAACUAUGCCGACUAGGGAUCGGAUGAUGUUAAUUUUUUAAUGACUCAUUCGGCGCCUUACGGGAAAC
This 549-nucleotide ribosomal RNA is filed under the name uncultured Glomeromycotina. Its description in RNAcentral is "SSU rRNA". It matches the Rfam family "Eukaryotic small subunit ribosomal RNA", at positions 548 to 1098 of the family's 1831-position model. The record is from RNAcentral. Lineage: Eukaryota; Fungi; Glomeromycota.